GAUGAACGCUGGCGGCGUGCCUAAUACAUGCAAGUCGUACGGAAAGGCCCUUCGGGGUACUCGAGUGGCGGACGGCUGAGUAACGCGUGGGAACGUGCCCCAAAGUGAGGGAUAACGCACCGAAAGGUGUGCUAAUACCGCAUAUGGUCUUCGGAUUAAAGCUUCGGCGCUUUGGGAGCGGCCCGCGUACGAUUAGAUAGUUGGUGAGGUAAUGGCUCACCAAGUCGACGAUCGUUAGCUGGUCUGAGAGGAUGAUCAGCCAGACUGGGACUGAGACACGGCCCAGACUCCUACGGGAGGCAGCAGUAGGGAAUCUUCCGCAAUGGGGGCAACCCUGAUGGAGCAACGCCGCGUGCAGGAUGAAGGUUUUCGGAUCGUAAACUGCUUUUAUAAGUGACGAAGAUGACGGUAGCUUAUGAAUAAGGACCGGCUAACUACGUGCCAGCAGCCGCCGUAA
Molecule: ribosomal RNA, 457 nt
Filed under: uncultured bacterium
Lineage: Bacteria
Description: partial 16S ribosomal RNA
Rfam family: Bacterial small subunit ribosomal RNA
Source: RNAcentral